This 66-nucleotide non-coding RNA is filed under the name unclassified sequences. The record is from Rfam.
CCUAUGGAGAGUACUAGAACUUGUGAGUAGUACCUUGAUACGAAAGCAUACUCGUUGAAGUAGGAA